GGAGGAUCGGGGGGAGCGGCAGGAGGAGUAGGCCGCCCGGAUAAUCGUGGCCUAGGACGGCUGCGGCUGCCUCUACCGGCGGAGGUUGGUGGUUCCGGGCCUAGACACCGAGAGAGACCAGCGACCGACGACGGAUUUAGGUCGGGUCCGGCGAGCGCGAUGACACGGCGCGGCCGUUGCAGGUGUCGCAGCUUGGCGACGACGGCAGGACGAAGAGCACCAAGGCGUCGGUGAAAGCAGCGCGAGGCUGAGAGUGGCCGCAGGUGGCCCUAGCUGGAGGACUGAAUCGGUACGCCAAUUCGUCGUUCCCUCCAAGCGACCGAAAGCAGCACGUCAAGCGGCGCGGAGGGGUGGCGAUCAGUGCGUUGGAGGUGGCGGCGUCACCUCGUCGCGGUGGUGACACCGGCACGGGUAGGCGCCCCUACAACUCCGGUCACGCUGGUCCCGGAUCUCGAGCGGAGAAGGGGGCGCUCCCCGAGGCUGCCGAGGAACAGGGCGUGGGAGGAGGUGGAAAGAGACCGCGAGCGUCCUGUGUCGGCUACCCACGCCGCGGAGCUCACCAACGACGGUCGCCGCCUACGUCGGAGCACGGGGGCGCGCUAGCCUAGGGUAGGGGUGGUGGAUGCCGGUGGUAGACACCAUGACGUAGACGCCGGUGCUGAAUAGAGGGAGCGUCCGCUGAGAGAGGGAGAAGGUGGCGGCUAAACCGGUCGCUCGCCGCGGUGGCUCCAGUCGCCGAAGCAGCUACCACCACGAGAGAGUGCGGGAGGCUGCUGGGGGACUAGGGGAGGGAGUCCACUUGAGAGAACGCUACGUCGAGACAAAUCCCCGGGCUAACGUUUAGCACGUCAAGUAAAACUCCGCACAAAAAACGAUCCUAGGUCCUACGUCGAGUGAAUCUUUAGGAAACCACCGGGGCUUGUGAAGGACGUCGAGACAGGACCGUAUACACGUCGAGAGAAGAAGAGACACACGUUACGUUUUUUAAACCAACUACACGUCGGCGGCUACUACCGAGGCCGAGACAAGAGAGACAACACGUGUUCAGGUACCUGUGCUAACGAAAAUCCGAAAAGUAAAACUCCCGAUAACAUAAUUUUUUCCCAAUAAAACAUGCCGACCCCACACGUGUGCGUCAAGUGGCCGCUCGGCGAUGGCCAACGUCGUCGUGCCCGCUCGAGAGAAGAAAAGAUGACGAUAAAAAUCAUCUUUUACCACGAAAAAAACACACAACACCUCAAACGUACAGUACGACCUCUGCAAGUAACGUGACAGCUACCGUCAAAUAUGAAACAUUAACUCUUCACGGAUGCAUUUUAAAGUCAAGGAGCACCGUGGUGGUCAUAUUUAAAGUCGAGUCUACGGGGGACCUACACACCGUACGUAGUGGAAUACAACUUCAAAAAACGGGAGGUUACACACAAAAGUCGUAAAAACGUAACAUGCACGUCACGUGUACACGGUGGGGGAUAUCACGUGAUCAUAACAAGGACGUCACGUGAUCAGAACAAGCACGUCACGUCUUACAUACGUCUAUUGACGAGAGCAGAAGCGCCACGUCUUGUGUGCUACCUUUUUUCUUUUUCUUAUUGAAGG
RNAcentral lists this ribosomal RNA (1596 nucleotides) under Triticum aestivum (bread wheat). Its description in RNAcentral is "partial small subunit ribosomal RNA". Lineage: Eukaryota; Viridiplantae; Streptophyta; Magnoliopsida; Poales; Poaceae. The record is from RNAcentral.